AAAGCAGGCCAGGCAGUCGCGGCUUUUCCGGUUUCGGCCGGGAAGGGCGAGGAAAGUCCGGACUCCACAGGGCAGGGUGAUGGCUAACGGCCAUCCGUGGCGACACGCGGAACAGGGCAACAGAAAGCAAACCGCCGAUGGCCCGAUGCAAAUCGGGAUCAGGUAAGGGUGAAACGGUGCGGUAAGAGCGCACCGCGGCUGUCGCGAGACAGACCGGCACGGUAACCUCCACCCGGAGCAAUUCCAAGUAGGCAGGCGCGCAUCUUCGGGAUGCAGGACGGGGCCCCCGUUUCGUCUGCGGGUAGGAAGCUUGAACGCGUCAGCAAUGGCGCGUCUAGAGGAAUGACUGCCACGCGCAGCGCGUCUUCGGAUGCGCUGCAUGCACAGAAUCCGGCUUAUCGGCCUGCUUUGCCU
This is a non-coding RNA of 414 nucleotides. It matches the Rfam family "Bacterial RNase P class A". From Rfam's summary of the family: Ribonuclease P (RNase P) is a ubiquitous endoribonuclease, found in archaea, bacteria and eukarya as well as chloroplasts and mitochondria. Its best characterised activity is the generation of mature 5'-ends of tRNAs by cleaving the 5'-leader elements of precursor-tRNAs. Cellular RNase Ps are ribonucleoproteins. The record is from Rfam.